RNAcentral lists this transfer RNA (66 nucleotides) under Chroodactylon ornatum. The stretch from base 4 to 61 matches the Rfam family "tRNA", at positions 8 to 63 of the family's 71-position model. From Rfam's summary of the family: Transfer RNA (tRNA) molecules are approximately 80 nucleotides in length. The record is from RNAcentral. Lineage: Eukaryota; Rhodophyta; Stylonematophyceae; Stylonematales; Stylonemataceae.
CUAUAGCUCAGCUGGUAGAGCAACUGAUUUGUAAUCAGUGGGUCGUAGGUUCAAGUCCUAUCUCCG